RNAcentral lists this ribosomal RNA (496 nucleotides) under uncultured bacterium. RNAcentral's name for it is "partial 16S ribosomal RNA". It matches the Rfam family "Bacterial small subunit ribosomal RNA", at positions 28 to 506 of the family's 1533-position model. The record is from RNAcentral.
GAUGAACGCUGGCGGCGUGCCUAAUACAUGCAAGUCGAGCGAACGGACGAGAAGCUUGCUUCUCUGAUGUUAGCGGCGGACGGGUGAGUAACACGUGGAUAACCUACCUAUAAGACUGGGAUAACUUCGGGAAACCGGAGCUAAUACCGGAUAAUAUUUUGAACCGCAUGGUUCAAAAGUGAAAGACGGUCUUGCUGUCACUUAUAGAUGGAUCCGCGCUGCAUUAGCUAGUUGGUAAGGUAACGGCUUACCAAGGCAACGAUGCAUAGCCGACCUGAGAGGGUGAUCGGCCACACGGGAACUGAGACACGGUCCAGACUCCUACGGGGGGCAGCAGUAGGGAAUCUUCCGCAAGGGGCGAAAGCCUGACGGAGCAACGCCGCGUGGGUGAUGAAGGUCUUCGGAUCGUAAAACUCUUUUAUUAGGGAAAAACAUUUGUGUAAGUAACUGUGCACAUCUUGACGGUACCUAAGCAAAAAGCCACGGCUAACUACGU